This is a non-coding RNA of Leptonychotes weddellii (Weddell seal), 1084 nucleotides long. NCBI's taxonomy places the organism in Eukaryota, Metazoa, Chordata, Mammalia, Carnivora, Phocidae. The record is from RefSeq and is a predicted model, not a curated record.
GCUGCCUACUUGUGCUGUCUUUCUAUCUCUCUAUCAGGUAAAUAAAUAGGAUAUUUUUUAAAAAUAUAUUUAGAUUGCAAUUUAACUACUGCCAUCCAUCCAUUAACAAAUUUAUCAAUACAAACACAAUUCAGGUCUCAUUUUUUUCUUUAGCUUUUUAGGACUUAUGAAACUGGCAGGAUUUUCUGUUCCUGCCAUUGUUGGUUUUCUUUAUGGUUAAGAGGUAAGAAAAUUUGAUAGGAUUUUAAACUCAAGCAAAAGCUAUAAAAGUAAGACCAAUGCCCUAAUACCAUUGUGGAAACGGAGCAGCUUUUAUACCAGCUUUCUUAGUUUUAAAAGGAAGAGGCAUCAUUGCAGUUCUAUUUCUGUUACAUCCUUUCCCUCAGAUAUUUUCAUCUUUUUUUUAUUAUUAUUAAAAAAAAAAAAAAAACUUCGCAAAAGUUGCUUCCCAAAAGACUCCACACUAUCUCUUCUUUCCCCAUGCCGAGACUUGGGAGUAGAACCUUAAAAGCUUGCUGAGCAGCGUUCAUCUAGCCUGUCAUGUGUUUCUGUCCCCAUAGUGAGGAGACAUUACAGAAGCUAACUCUUCACCAUGGAAAACAUGGGAACGUUAUCACAGCCACUUCCGUCUAGCCCAUGGGGCUUUGGUCUUUCAUCCUUAGAGUCACUGGUCUCCUUUUCAUCUUUGAUGUCAGUUCCGAUUAUUUGGCAUCAAAGCCUUCGUGGUAGGAAGAGUUUGAGUGCCCUGCCUUCUGCUAGCUGAUCUGAAAUACAGAAUGUGAAGAGUGAACAUUUACUCAUCUACUCCUUUGGCUGCUGGAACUCAUCGGCAGUCCUUUAUUACUCGUACUGAUUUCUGAUUCCACUUCUGCUUUCCCUAAAUAGGUUAGAGCAUCCUAUUUGCCUAUUGCUGAGUUGUAGAACUUUCUCUCCUGGAGGUGUAAAACAGAGUGUUUGGGAUAUUCAGGGAACCCACCCAAAAGUUAUAUUGCUAUUUACUGGGAAGGGUUGGGAUCAUAAGUAUUUCUGUGUUCUGUAAAGGAUUUCACUUACUGGUUCUCAAUAAAAUUUUAUUAGGACUCUA